GAUGAAGAACGCAGUGAAAUGCGAUAAGUAAUGUGAAUUGCAGAAUUCAGUGAAUCAUCGAAUCUUUGAACGCACAUUGCGCCCGCCAGUAUUCUGGCGGGCAUGCCUGUUCGAGCGUCAUUUCAACCAUCAAGCCCCCGGCUUGUGUUGGGGACCUGCGGCUGCCGCAGGCCCUGAAAAGCAGUGGCGGGCUCGCUGUCACACCGAGCGUAGUAGCAUACAUCUCGCUCUGGGCGUGCUGCGGGUUCCGGCCGUGAAACCACCUUCAUAACCCAAGGUUGACCUCGGAUCAGGUAGGAAGACCCGCUGAACUUAAGCAUAUCAAUAAGCGGAGGA
This 336-nucleotide unclassified non-coding RNA is filed under the name soil metagenome. Its description in RNAcentral is "partial contains 5.8S ribosomal RNA, internal transcribed spacer 2, and large subunit ribosomal RNA". The stretch from base 1 to 120 matches the Rfam family "5.8S ribosomal RNA", at positions 35 to 154 of the family's 154-position model. The record is from RNAcentral.